RNAcentral lists this ribosomal RNA (697 nucleotides) under Photobacterium profundum 3TCK. RNAcentral's name for it is "bacterial SSU rRNA". It matches the Rfam family "Bacterial small subunit ribosomal RNA", at positions 842 to 1533 of the family's 1533-position model. The record is from RNAcentral. Lineage: Bacteria; Pseudomonadati; Pseudomonadota; Gammaproteobacteria; Vibrionales; Vibrionaceae.
GCUUUCGGAGCUAACGCGUUAAGUAGACCGCCUGGGGAGUACGGUCGCAAGAUUAAAACUCAAAUGAAUUGACGGGGGCCCGCACAAGCGGUGGAGCAUGUGGUUUAAUUCGAUGCAACGCGAAGAACCUUACCUACUCUUGACAUCCAGAGAAGUGACCAGAGAUGGUUUCGUGCCUUCGGGAACUCUGAGACAGGUGCUGCAUGGCUGUCGUCAGCUCGUGUUGUGAAAUGUUGGGUUAAGUCCCGCAACGAGCGCAACCCUUAUCCUUGUUUGCCAGCACGUAAUGGUGGGAACUCCAGGGAGACUGCCGGUGAUAAACCGGAGGAAGGUGGGGACGACGUCAAGUCAUCAUGGCCCUUACGAGUAGGGCUACACACGUGCUACAAUGGCGUAUACAGAGGGCUGCCAACCAGCGAUGGUGAGCGAAUCCCACAAAGUACGUCGUAGUCCGGAUCGGAGUCUGCAACUCGACUCCGUGAAGUCGGAAUCGCUAGUAAUCGUGAAUCAGAAUGUCACGGUGAAUACGUUCCCGGGCCUUGUACACACCGCCCGUCACACCAUGGGAGUGGGCUGCACCAGAAGUAGAUAGCUUAACCUUCGGGAGGGCGUUUACCACGGUGUGGUUCAUGACUGGGGUGAAGUCGUAACAAGGUAGCCCUAGGGGAACCUGGGGCUGGAUCACCUCCUUACCUAA